This 239-nucleotide ribosomal RNA is filed under the name uncultured bacterium. RNAcentral describes it as "partial 16S ribosomal RNA". It matches the Rfam family "Bacterial small subunit ribosomal RNA", at positions 538 to 776 of the family's 1533-position model. The record is from RNAcentral.
GCGUUGUCCGGAAUCACUGGGCGUAAAGGGCGCGUAGGCGGCUUUUCAAGCGUGCGGUGAAAGCUCGGGGCUUAACUCCGAGUCUGCCGUGCGAACUGGGAGGCUUGAGUCUGGUAGAGGUCGAUGGAAUUCCGGGUGUAGCGGUGGAAUGCGUAGAGAUCCGGAAGAACACCGGUGGCGAAGGCGGUCGACUGGGCCAGAACUGACGCUGAGGCGCGACAGCGUGGGGAGCAAACAGG